RNAcentral lists this ribosomal RNA (800 nucleotides) under uncultured bacterium. RNAcentral's name for it is "bacterial SSU rRNA". It matches the Rfam family "Bacterial small subunit ribosomal RNA", at positions 45 to 853 of the family's 1533-position model. The record is from RNAcentral.
UGCUUACCAUGCAAGUCGAACGAUGAAGCCUAGCUUGCUAGGUGGAUUAGUGGCGAACGGGUGAGUAAUACGUGAGUGACCUACCUUUGACUCUGGGAUAAGCCUGGGAAACUGGGUCUAAUACCGGAUACGACCAAUCUCCGCAUGGGGUGUUGGUGGAAAGCGUUAUGGAGUGGUUUUAGAUGGGCUCACGGCCUAUCAGCUUGUUGGUGAGGUAAUGGCUUACCAAGGCGACGACGGGUAGCCGGCCUGAGAGGGUGACCGGCCACACUGGGACUGAGACACGGCCCAGACUCCUACGGGAGGCAGCAGUGGGGAAUAUUGCACAAUGGGCGCAAGCCUGAUGCAGCGACGCCGCGUGAGGGAUGACGGCCUUCGGGUUGUAAACCUCUGUUAGCAUCGAAGAAGCGAAAGUGACGGUAGGUGCAGAGAAAGCGCCGGCUAACUACGUGCCAGCAGCCGCGGUAAUACGUAGGGCGCGAGCGUUGUCCGGAAUUAUUGGGCGUAAAGAGCUUGUAGGCGGUUGGUCGCGUCUGCUGUGAAAGGCUGGGGCUUAACCCUGGUUUUGCAGUGGGUACGGGCUAACUAGAGUGCAGUAGGGGAGACUGGAAUUCCUGGUGUAGCGGUGGAAUGCGCAGAUAUCAGGAGGAACACCGAUGGCGAAGGCAGGUCUCUGGGCUGUAACUGACGCUGAGAAGCGAAAGCAUGGGGAGCGAGCAGGAUUAGAUACCCUGGUAGUCCAUGCCGUAAACGUUGGGCACUAGGUGUGGGGGACAUUCCACGUUUUCCGCGCCGUAGCU